This 64-nucleotide microRNA precursor is filed under the name Myotis brandtii (Brandt's bat). Its description in RNAcentral is "mir-9242 microRNA precursor family". It matches the Rfam family "mir-9242 microRNA precursor family". The record is from Rfam by way of RNAcentral. Lineage: Eukaryota; Metazoa; Chordata; Mammalia; Chiroptera; Vespertilionidae.
GGCCUCCCUCUGUGGGGCGAUUGAUGGCGGGGCUCCGCGGUCAAUGGCUCUGUAGAGGGAGGCC